GAUGAACGCUGGCGGCGUGCCUAACACAUGCAAGUCGAGCGGCAGCGGGCUCACAGUGCUCUGGUUUAUAUAACGAGGGUAAUGUGAGCGCCGGCGAGCGGCGGACGGCUGAGUAACGCGUGGGAACAUGCCCCAAAGUGAGGGAUAAGCAUCGGAAACGGUGUCUAAUACCGCAUAUGGUCUUCGGAUUAAAGGAUUUAUCCGCUUUGGGAGUGGCCUGCGUACGAUUAGAUAGUUGGUGAGGUAAUGGCUCACCAAGUCGACGAUCGUUAACUGGUUUGAGAGGAUGAUCAGUCAGACUGGAACUGAGACACGGUCCAGACUCCUACGGGAGGCAGCAGUGAGGAAUCUUCCACAAUGGGGGCAACCCUGAUGGAGCAACGCCGCGUGCAGGAUGAAGGUUUUCGGAUCGUAAACUGCUUUUGUUAGUGAAGAAUAUGACGGUAACUAACGAAUAAGGAUCGGCUAACUACGUGCCAGCAGCCGCCGUAACAC
Molecule: ribosomal RNA, 495 nt
Filed under: uncultured bacterium
Lineage: Bacteria
Description: bacterial SSU rRNA
Rfam family: Bacterial small subunit ribosomal RNA
Source: RNAcentral